RNAcentral lists this ribosomal RNA (497 nucleotides) under uncultured bacterium. Its description in RNAcentral is "partial 16S ribosomal RNA". It matches the Rfam family "Bacterial small subunit ribosomal RNA", at positions 28 to 507 of the family's 1533-position model. The record is from RNAcentral.
GAUGAACGCUGGCGGCGUGCCUAAUACAUGCAAGUCGAGCGAACGGACGAGAAGCUUGCUUCUCUGAUGUUAGCGGCGGACGGGUGAGUAACACGUGGAUAACCUACCUAUAAGACUGGGAUAACUUCGGGAAACCGGAGCUAAUACCGGAUAAUAUUUUGAACCGCAUGGUUCAAAAGUGAAAGACGGUCUUGCUAUCACUUAUAGAUGGAUCCGCGCUGCAUUAGCUAGUUGGUAAGGUAACGGCUUACCAAGGCAACGAUGCAUAGCCGACCUGAGAGGGGGAUCGGCCACACUGGAACUGAGACACGGUCCAGACUCCUACGGGAGGCAGCAGUAGGGAAUCUUCCGCAAUGGGCGAAAGCCUGACGGAGCAACGCCGCGUGAGUGAUGAAGGUCUUCGGAUCGUAAAACUCUGUUAUUAGGGAAGAACAUAUGUGUAAGUAACUGUGCACAUCUUGACGGUACCUAAUCAGAAAGCCACGGCUAACUACGUG